Molecule: transfer RNA, 88 nt
Filed under: Caudoviricetes sp.
Lineage: Duplodnaviria; Heunggongvirae; Uroviricota; Caudoviricetes
Description: tRNA-Ser
Rfam family: tRNA
About the family: Transfer RNA (tRNA) molecules are approximately 80 nucleotides in length.
Source: RNAcentral
GGAAGAAUGGCGUAAUUGGCAUCGCAGAGGAUUGCUAAUCCUUCCGGGACACAACAGUCUCGUACAAGUUCAAAUCUUGUUUCUUCCG